Molecule: ribosomal RNA, 429 nt
Filed under: Pseudomonadota bacterium
Lineage: Bacteria; Pseudomonadati; Pseudomonadota
Description: Proteobacteria bacterium partial 16S ribosomal RNA
Rfam family: Bacterial small subunit ribosomal RNA
Source: RNAcentral
GGGGGAAUAUUGGACAAUGGGCGAAAGCCUGAUCCAGCCAUGCCGCGUGUGUGAAGAAGGUCUUCGGAUUGUAACGCACUUUAAGUUGGGAGGAAGGGCAGUAAGCGAAUACCUUGCUGUUUUGACGUUACCGACAGAAUAAGCACCGGCUAACUCUGUGCCAGCAGCCGUGGUAAUACAGAGGGUGCAAGCGUUAAUCGGAAUUACUGGGCGUAAAGCGGGCGUAGGUGGUUCGUUAAGUUGAAUGUGAAAACCGCGGGGUCAACCUGGGAAAUGCAGCCAAAACUGGCGAGGUGGAGUAGGGGAGAGGGUGGUGGGAUUUCCUGGGUAGCGGUGAAAUGCGGAGAUAUAGGAAGGAACAACAGGGGCGAAGGCGACCACCUGGGCUCAUACUGACACUGGGGUGCGAAAACGUGGGGAGCAAACAGG